RNAcentral lists this transfer RNA (62 nucleotides) under Arcuatula senhousia (Asian date mussel). Its description in RNAcentral is "tRNA-Val". The record is from RNAcentral. Lineage: Eukaryota; Metazoa; Mollusca; Bivalvia; Mytilida; Mytilidae.
GACAAAGUAGUAAAGUUUACAUCUCCCUUACACGGAGGAAAUCCCCUUUUAGGGCUUUGUUU